Molecule: ribosomal RNA, 253 nt
Filed under: uncultured bacterium
Lineage: Bacteria
Description: partial 16S ribosomal RNA
Rfam family: Bacterial small subunit ribosomal RNA
Source: RNAcentral
UACGGAGGUGGCGAGCGUUGCUCGGAUUUACUGGGUGUAAAGGGCAUUUAGGCGGUUCUAUAAGCCUUACCUUAAAUCCUCCCGCUCAACGGGAGAUUGUGGUAGGGGACUGCAGAACUUGAGGGUGGAAGAGGUGAGCGGAACUCCCGGUGUAAGGGUGAAAUCUGUAGAGAUCGGGAAGAACACCAGUGGCGAAGGCGGCUCACUAGGCCACUCCUGACGCUGAAACGCGAAAGCUAGGGGAGCAAACAGG